RNAcentral lists this ribosomal RNA (404 nucleotides) under Actinomycetes bacterium. Its description in RNAcentral is "Actinobacteria bacterium partial 16S ribosomal RNA". It matches the Rfam family "Bacterial small subunit ribosomal RNA", at positions 355 to 776 of the family's 1533-position model. Lineage: Bacteria; Bacillati; Actinomycetota; Actinomycetes. The record is from RNAcentral.
UGGGGAAUAUUGGACAAUGUGCGCAAGCCUGAUCCGGCCAUGCCGCGUGAGUGAUGAAGGCCCUUGGGUUGUAAAGCUCUUUCACCGGUGAAGAUAAUGACGGUAACCGGAGAAGAAGCCCCGGCUAACUUCGUGCCAGCAGCCGCGGUAAUACGAAGGGGGCUAGCGUUGUUCGGAUUUACUGGGCGUAAAGCGCACGUAGGCGGACUUUUAAGUCAGGGGUGAAAUCCCGGGGCUCAACCCCGGAACUGCCUUUGAUACUGGAAGUCUUGAGUAUGGUAGAGGUGAGUGGAAUUCCGGGUGUAGAGGUGAAAUUCGUAGAUAUUCGGAGGAACACCAGUGGCGAAGGCGGCUCACUGGACCAUUACUGACGCUGAGGUGCGAAAGCGUGGGGAGCAAACAGG